GACGAACGCUGGCGGCGUGCUUAACACAUGCAAGUCGAACGGAAAGGCCCUGCUUUUGUGGGUUGCUCGAGUGGCGAACGGGUGAGUAACACGUGAGUAACCUGCCCUUGACUUUGGGAUAACUUCAGGAAACUGGGGCUAAUACCGGAUAGGAGCUCCUGCUGCAUGGUGGGGGUUGGAAAGUUUGGGCGGUUGGGGAUGGACUCGCGGCUUAUCAGCUUGUUGGUGGGGUAGUGGCUUACCAAGGCUUUGACGGGUAGCCGGCCUGAGAGGGUGACCGGCGACAUUGGGACUGAGAUACGGACCAGAAUCCUACGGGAGGCAGCAGUGGGGAAUAUUGCACAAUGGGCGGAAGCCUGAUGCAGAAACGCCGCGAGCGGGAUGACGGCCUUCGGGUUGUAAACAGCUUUCGCCUGUGACGAAGAGUGAGUGACGGUAAUGGGUAAAGAAGCACCGGCUAACUACGUG
RNAcentral lists this ribosomal RNA (468 nucleotides) under uncultured bacterium. Its description in RNAcentral is "partial 16S ribosomal RNA". It matches the Rfam family "Bacterial small subunit ribosomal RNA", at positions 28 to 507 of the family's 1533-position model. The record is from RNAcentral.